GACGAACGCUGGCGGCGUGCCUAAUACAUGCAAGUUGAGCGAUGAAGCUUGGUGCUUGCCCCAAUUUGAAGAGCAGCGAACGGGUGAGUAACGCGUGGGGAAUCUGCCUUUGAGCGGGGGACAACAUUUGGAAACGAAUGCUAAUACCGCAUAAUAACUUUAAACAUAAGUUUUAAGUUUGAAAGAUGCAAUUGCAUCACUCAAAGAUGAUCCCGCGUUGUAUUAGCUAGUUGGUGAGGUAAAGGCUCACCAAGGCGAGGAUACAUAGCCGACCUGAGAGGGUGAGUGGCCGGAUUGGGACGGAGACACGGCCCAAACGCCUACGGGAGGCAGCAGGAGGGAAUCUGCGGCAAUGGACGAAAGUCUGACCGAGCAACGCCGAGGGAGUGAAGAAGGGUGUCGGAUCGUAAAACUCGGUUGGUAGAGAAGAACGUUGGUGAGAGUGGAAAGCUCAUCAAGUGACGGUAACUACCCAGAAAGGGACGGCUAACUACGUG
Molecule: ribosomal RNA, 497 nt
Filed under: uncultured bacterium
Lineage: Bacteria
Description: partial 16S ribosomal RNA
Rfam family: Bacterial small subunit ribosomal RNA
Source: RNAcentral